Molecule: ribosomal RNA, 761 nt
Filed under: Prevotella melaninogenica
Lineage: Bacteria; Pseudomonadati; Bacteroidota; Bacteroidia; Bacteroidales; Prevotellaceae
Description: bacterial SSU rRNA
Rfam family: Bacterial small subunit ribosomal RNA
Source: RNAcentral
GAUGAACGCUAGCUACAGGCUUAACACAUGCAAGUCGAGGGGAAACGGCAUUUAGUGCUUGCACUGAAUGGACGUCGACCGGCGCACGGGUGAGUAACGCGUAUCCAACCUUCCCAUUACUGUGGGAUAACCUGCCGAAAGGCAGACUAAUACCGCAUAGUCUUCGAUGACGGCAUCAGAUUUGAAGUAAAGAUUUAUCGGUAAUGGAUGGGGAUGCGUCUGAUUAGCUUGUUGGCGGGGUAACGGCCCACCAAGGCAACGAUCAGUAGGGGUUCUGAGAGGAAGGUCCCCCACAUUGGAACUGAGACACGGUCCAAACUCCUACGGGAGGCAGCAGUGAGGAAUAUUGGUCAAUGGACGAGAGUCUGAACCAGCCAAGUAGCGUGCAGGAUGACGGCCCUAUGGGUUGUAAACUGCUUUUGUAUGGGGAUAAAGUCAAUCACGUGUGAUUGUUUGCAGGUACCAUACGAAUAAGGACCGGCUAAUUCCGUGCCAGCAGCCGCGGUAAUACGGAAGGUCCAGGCGUUAUUCGGAUUUAUUGGGUUUAAAGGGAGCGUAGGCUGGAGAUUAAGUGUGUUGUGAAAUGUAGACGCUCAACGUCUGAAUUGCAGCGCAUACUGGUUUCCUUGAGUACGCACAACGUUGGCGGAAUUCGUCGUGUAGCGGUGAAAUGCUUAGAUAUGACGAAGAACUCCGAUUGCGAAGGCAGCUGACGGGAGCGCAACUGACGCUUAAGCUCGAAGGUGCGGGUAUCGAACAGG